UGGGCGGGCGCGGGAGAGAGCCUCUUCACAAGGAGGCCGCCGAAGGAGCAACCACCCCGGAAUCUCUCAGGCAAACGGGACCGCGCGCUGCCU
This 93-nucleotide non-coding RNA is filed under the name Sphingomonas taxi. RNAcentral describes it as "Glycine sequence". It matches the Rfam family "Glycine riboswitch aptamer". From Rfam's summary of the family: This family represents the bacterial glycine riboswitch. Glycine riboswitches usually consist of two metabolite-binding aptamers domains with similar structures in tandem. Lineage: Bacteria; Pseudomonadati; Pseudomonadota; Alphaproteobacteria; Sphingomonadales; Sphingomonadaceae. The record is from Rfam by way of RNAcentral.